GUUGUUAGCUAAUGGGGCCUUACUGAAAUCCCCAAACAACCCGGGCUGUUGCCAGUAAGCUGCUCUCUACAGACUGACAGCCAGGGUCCAUUAUUAAAGACAACACCCGCACAACUAAAUAGAAAUGGAGACGACGACGAGAUGGUGUUUACAUACAGCCUUAAUGCCUCCUACAUCCCAGCAUCUUUGUUACAGAAACUUACUCUGCAUGCUCUCAAAAGGGAAGCGUAAACGCCAAGGUGGCCCCCAAACUUCUCUCCAGUGAUGUCCUGCCUGCAAGACGACUAAGGCAAUGGUGGCGCAAAGCUUGUGGGAGCAAAUCACCAAUCAGUGCCUUGUUCAACCGUCCUCCGAGAAGCUUCCUCCUGUUGAAGAUGGGAACAAACACAAAGACCCACAGCCAGAUAUUAUGCAGAGAGUAGAGUCCUUGGAACACGAAGCCCUCAAUGGUUUACCACAAACAAAUCCCUCUCUCGAGAACCCAGUAAACCCCAAAGAAUACUAGGCAGAAAAGGGGUAAGAGCUAGAGAGGUUGGAGGACACCAAGAAAUCAAGGGCCUUUAAAUCAACAUGAGAACAACUCAUAGGAACUCAGAGACUGACACAGCACGGGACCUGCAGGAGUCUCCACCCAGUCCUCUGUCAAUAUAUUGCGGAUUCAAAUUUCGUGUGGUUUUAUGGAAUUCCUGAGUGUGAGAAUGAGUUUGUCUCUGAUUCUUGUGAGUUCUAUUGCUAUUUUUUAAUAUUUUAUUUAUCUAUUGAUUGAUUGAUUGAUUGCCUUGCCCAACUGUGAUGUAAUAGAUUUUGUUUUAUCUUAUUCUAUUUUACUUUUAAAUAAUUAAUGAAAACCUAGUAACAGCAGUAAAGGUUAACAGCUGAAUUGUCACCUACAUCAGGUAGAAGGGGGAAAAAUUGGUUCCCUCAAAUAGUGUGAUAACUGUGAAAGGAUCAUUUAUUCAACUCAAGUUGCCAUCUUGGAAGCAUACUGCUUCUGUCUGCUAACCCAGGGAUAGUCCUGGAAGCUCCUAACCUCUGCAAAAUCUUAUCUAGGUCUAGAAUGCUCUCAGCCUCUGACACUUAACUGAUGAUUAUGCCUACACUUUCUGGCCUUUCUGAACUCUCUCUCUCGCUGACUCAGCUCCGAGGUUCGGGCUCACAAUCCUCUCCAAGCUGACUGAUUUAAUUUGGCUUCUCCCUCAGCCUCUUGACUCUACUCUGCUUGGCCUCAUACUUACUCUGGCAAUGUUUGAUGCUUUUCAAUUGUUGUCUUUGUAUGAAAUAAAAGUAAGGUUAACUCGUAGUUUAGACAAACUACAUUAUCCCAAUUAUUUAAACCAUAAAGGAGCAUCAAAUGCAGUAAAGUAUUCACUUUUCACAUAGAAUAUUAUAGAAUCUAGGGACAGAAUAUUAUAAAGAAAUCCAGACUUAUGUUCAGCCAGUUAAAUUCAUCCUAAUUGUUAUUUAAUCUAAAUGAGAACCUUGGUUAUACCUCCCAUAAAAUAUGCACUUAUUUCAAUAAUAUUAGCAGCAUGAACAGAACUCUAAAUUAGUAUAUGCACAGAUAUAUAAUAUGUACAAUGUUAAAAUUUAAAUUUACAGUUUUUCAUUUUUCAUGGACUCUAAAGAAAUACACUUUUAUAGUCAUUGAAAAAAUAUUAUAAAAAUAUCAGGUGUUUUAUGUUGAAUCAUGAUUAGGGGUUAUAAGCAUGCUUUUUUUUUCCUAAGAGAAAAAUGGUUUUUAUUGUGUAAGAAUGCAGUAAUGUAUUUCUUUUCUCACUUUUAUACCUCCAUAAAGUAGUUCUUUGAAAUUAUUAUAGAAAAAGAAAGUGCCUAAAUGCAUUUAAAUUUCAUUUUGCUAUCCGCAAAAAAAAGUGACUAUUCCACAGAUAAGUAUACCCCAAAAUGGUAAAUAACCCAUUAUGCAUGGAACUCACUGUAAAACCAUAAAAUCCUGCACACUCAGCACUCCAUGCCAUCAGAAUCAUUUUUUCUUUACUAGCAUCAAAACUUACUUUUUAUUAGACCUAAAAUGCCCUGUAUUCCACACAAACUUACUGUAUUUUAGAAUGCAUGUGGGGAGGGGCAGAAAGGUGAGG
Rattus norvegicus (Norway rat) is the source of this 2096-nucleotide long non-coding RNA. The record is from Ensembl. Lineage: Eukaryota; Metazoa; Chordata; Mammalia; Rodentia; Muridae.